UCUCCUUGCAUAAUUCCCAGUUCUCAGGGCUAUAAUUGGUUUUACUGUUUCUUUGAAAUGCACAAAAUAGUCUGUUACUGUGGACUGGGAGAAUUAAUAGGGAGUACUUUUGCUGUAGAUAGUGGUUUUAUAUUUAAAGAGAAGAUGCAUUUUUAACUGUUGGCUUGAUGUGGAAUCCAGGCUGUGGUAAAACAUGCAUGUAUCAGUGAAACCCUUUUUUUCGGGUGACCAUAAAAGCUUUCUUUCUUUGAUUAGAUAAAUAAUGUUACCAUUGUUUUUUCAUAUUGUUUUAAUUUUUUCCCCCCCGAUGACAUUACUUCAGGAAUAGGAAAUUGUCUGAGGAGUUACUCUACAGUAACAGUAUUAUUGUGCAGCUGGGUAAGUUCUCAUGCAAUGAGGAAUAGCUGUAGUUUUAUAUACUAAACAAUUAAUGAAGGAGAGACAGAAUAUGUUACUGUCUUUUUUCAAGAAGCCCUUGACCAUAUGCUGGAAAUAAAGCUUUACCCCACUUAAACUACCAGCACAGGUAAAUUAAGACCACUGUGUUCAAAUAAAAAUAUUUAAUAACUAAGACAAAGUAUGAAACUCAAAUAUGUAAGUUAAGAACCUUUCUGAGAUCUUGCUGGGGAUGUGAAUAAUCACUUUGAAGGUGGAGUGUAAAGAGUACAGAAGAAAUUCUGUGGAGAAUCUGGAGCCACCUAGAAGGUGUGUCAGUCCAAGGAUGACUGUAGAGGUUUUAAUUGUAACCAGGGCAGAUAAGCAAGAAGCCAUACAUCUUAAUCAACGAUUAUAAGCAGAAACUCACGGGAAUAAGUUCAUAUUCUGUUCAUUGUCUGCAAGUUUUGCUUCUCUGAAAAUUAGUGUGUGUGAUCUGUUACAUGGAAAAGAUGGAACCAGUGUGGAAGAGGUGUGGUGUCAGUUUGAGGAAAACUUUCUCAUGCAAUAUUCCAGCUCAUUCCUCUGUGAGUGACAGCUUCUUCCUCUGUGAGUGACAGGGUAGGGACAUGGAAUGGGAGCUGCUGUUUGUUUGGAAUCAGCUGAACAGUUGGGUUUUGCCUUUGUGUCAGGAAGUGACUUUCUGCUAAUGUUAAAAGUGCAACUAUUUUAUUUGCCAGAGAUGAUGAAAGAGUAACAUUGGUAGUAAAGAUCGCAUCAUCUGGCGUGUUGGCACAUGCUGCUUUCCUGAGAGGCACAGAACCCCAGCCUCUUAGAGAGCACUCAGGCUUCAGAGCACUGCUUGCUUGUUUGCCAAUAUGUAAUUCUCAGUAGUAAAUUAGUGGACACUGAAUAUACAUUUGAAACUGUGGGAGCUGGGAAUGUUCUCCCUGGCUGCUAGUAGUCUGAGCAGGCUUCAUUUGGUUUCUUUAGUGAAGGUAUAAUAAUAUAUUGAAGUGCUGUUCAAAGCAAAAGCAAACCAAAAUAACAUUUCCUUGUUUAGCUAAGACUGAAGCUAAGACCAUCUUCACAUAAAUAAUAGAGACUUUUCCUCCCUAACCUCUGUUGUCUUGGCCAUCAAAGCUACAGUGAAAGUAAUUGCAUGUUUAUUACUACUCUGGCCACUGUGCUUCUCUAUGGAGAUUUGUAUUACUCUGUCAUUGUCAUGUUUUCCAACCUUGCUGCACUGUAUGUUUACGAAAGCUACCUGGCAUGUCUGACAGUGCAGGAGAAGCCAAAGGUCUUAUGAUUUACAGGUGACAUUUUGUGUGGCUUCUCUAUAGUGAGUACUUACUCAACUGAAGUAUCUUAAACCAGGAAUACUGGUGAGGCAGCAUUAUUAUUCUUAUUACUACUACUACUACUACUACUAUUAUUAUUAUAAAUGUCUUGGGAUUAAUGAAAAAAUGUAACUUCUCUUCUAAAUCACCAUAAAUCAACCUUGUUGCCAAGAUGAGAUGUUUAAUUAAAGCAUCAGUUUUAAACAGGAAAGCCAGGCACUGGUUGCCAUUCACAGUUCUUCAUUACUACAUUCAGAUCUCUUAGCAAGCAGUACAUUUUCCUAAAGAUUAUAGCUUUUCAUAGGAAGAUAUGUAUCUGAAGUGCUUUUCAGAAGAUACUGGGGAACAGAAUGAAGCCCCCAUAAUGCAGGGGGAAAUGGUCACUGACCUCCUACAUCAGUUUGAUACUCAUGAGACUAUGGGGCUGGAUGGGAUCCAGCCAAGGGCACUGAGGAAGGUGCAGAAGUGCUCCCUGAGAGUUUUACCAUCAUUUUUCAUCAUGCCUGGAAGGUAGCAAAUGUGAUGCCCAUCUACAAGAAGGAGGAUUUGGGGAAUUACAGGCCUAUGAGACUGAACUUGGCCAUCCUAAGGGUCUUCUUCCAACCUUAAUAAUUCUAUGAUUCUAUAAACCCAGAUAAUGAUCUGUUGUUAAAAUCAUGUAGGCAUCUUUUGCUUAGAAAAAAAACUGUGUUAUUUAAAAGAACAAGGAUCAUAAGUGAUAAGUGAAUCAUAUCCAUACAUGAAAGUAAAGGUUUCUGUAGAAGUCUCAAGCAGACAUUGACUGGAAUAUGACUGAUUUUAUCCAAGACAAACCGAACAAAGUGAGGAGACUAUUUUUUAUCCCAGGUCACCAUAAUACCCACUUUCAUGCAUCACUCAGGUGUCUAAUGAUACAGUUUUCAGGAGGAGGUUUGCUACUCAGACCAUUCGUGGGAGGGAAAAACAGGAUGAGAAUAUGUGUGUGCUUGUGACAGGCAUGUUCUAGUCUGGUACAUUAUAAGUAAUUAUAAGCAAUAGCAAUUCUUUCACCUUAGGAUUCUUCUGCUCUUCAGCAGGUGCUUUUGGUCGUGGGUGAAUAAUUGAGUGUAAUUGUUUUGAGAAUCUCUGUCUAGAGACUUCACCUGUCAUGUCUUCUCUGUAAUUCAUUUUCCAUCUUCCUUUCUAUCAUUACCUUGCAUUAUUUUGAACUGCCAUGGUAUUGCUUUCUUGUGAUGUACUCAGCAUUGGUACCACAAUGCGGAAUGAUGUAAUGAACUUAUACACACACACACACACCCCACAAAUUUAAUUGGAUAGAUAUCACUAUAAUAAUAUAAUAUAUAUAUAAUAUAAUAUAUAUAUAUAUAUAUAUAAAUUGGAUACAUUUUCUGUGAGAGCUUAACAAGGAAUGGUAUUGUAUCUCCCUGAUACUUGGAAAUUAUUUCACGAUUUUAAUGAAGUGAGGAAGCUUUGCUGGAGCAUCUCAUCAUUGCCUCCAAAUUCCUUUGGUUUUGAUGCAUUUCAAGGAUUGAAGUUAGAGUAUUUUCCCUUGAGUCUGUUCACUUCUUAUUUUGUGUUUUCACUUGUAAAGUGAAUAGAGAACCUAUAUAUUUAUAAGCUACACUACCAUGGCUGUCAGCAAACAUUGCAGUUGAUUAAAACAUUGGUCAGAGCAAGUUUAUCUGAUUCCAUCAGCACCCAGAGGUUAUGAACCUCAGCUUAUUAGAGCUGUAUUAGUGAAGUGAUUAAUGAUAUAAUACUUCUUCCUUCCAGUUCAGCUCUGGAGGUUGACUUCUAUAGCAACAGGCCAUCAUCAGGGAAAAUUCUGGGGUAAAGUCUAUUAAUGAUCCCAUUUUAUGGCUGGAAACUUUGAACCAUUGCAGAUUCACACUUAGCAGUUAGAACCAAACACUUACUAGAAAACAUAUUAUUGGAAAGGGAAAAAUGGAUGUGAGAUAAAUUUAAUUCUGCUAAAAGAUCAAAAUUAGAAUGUGUCUCCUGGUUUAUUUCUUAGGGUGGGGUCUUUUCCCCCUACUUUUUCUUUCAAAGAUGCCACCCAUGUUUUCUCAUAUUUGGGACUAACACAUCCAUUAAUUCAUUUAGAACAAGAAAUGUUGCAUCAUUGUCUGUUGUACAAUGAAUUGUGCUUAUACAAACAAAAUUUAGAUAUUUGAUAGGAUGUCCUUAAGAGAGGAGAUAGUAGUUUAUUGUUUUGGAAAACUGUCUUGGAUGAGACUUUUUGGAGGCAGCCAUCCUUGUGUCCCAGGCAGAAUCAGAUUGUCAGUUCUAUUUAGUAGAUCAUCAGUGAUGGAAAACCCAUAGCUACCCUUGACUAUCUAUUCCAGUAUUCCAUUAUUAGUCUCAAUUGAGUGAUUUUCCUAAAAUCUAUGCUGGAUCUUUCUGUCUGGUAUUUGAGCCCAUUAUUGCUUGUUCUGCCCAUCACUGGUAUGGAGAACAGAUUCUUUUCUUCUUCUUUUUUUUCUGUUUUUUGCCUUAGGUUUUCUACCUCUGAUAGUUCUUGUUCAUCUUCUUUUGAACGUCUCCUGUUUGUGCAUUUCCUUAAGUAUCUAAAAUCAUUGUGCCGUGUUAUGAUUGUGAUUCAGAGAUCAGAAAUAGCCCCCAGGUGUAAGCCCCCACUUCUUUUAGUUAGUAACAGAACUUUUACUAACUUAUUUUUAUCUUAUCUUGAGUAAGCACUGUUUCUUCAGCUUGUUAAAACCUGUUUGAAUCUUUCACCAGUCCUCCAACAUACUUGAAAUCCCUAUUAUUGUCAGGAAUGUUUUCUUCUAUCAUCUAGAUUGUUAAGAGAAAUGCUGAAAAAAGACUAGACCCUGGACAGACCCUCUGAAGCACCAUACAAUGCAUCUUUCUAUUUGACAGUGGAACAUUGGUCCUCUGUGGAUACAGCUAUCUAAUUUCUGUUUUCAGAUUUCAUUGUGACUUACUGAAGUCAAGAUGAAUGACAAUCACUCCCCUUCUAAAAAGGCCUUUUAGCCACAACACAGGAAGAAAUUGGAUUGUUUUGUCAGUUCAUUCUUAACAAAUUCAUAUUGAUUGUCACUUAUGUCUGUGUUACCAUAUAGCUGCAUACAAUUGCUUCAUGAAGAAAUGUUCUUGAAUAUGAGGUUCAGUUUGACUUAUCUGGUUUCUCAGCUCCUCUUUCCUGCUGUUCUAAGCACAGAUAUGAGAUAUCACAGAGCUGCGAUCAGUCCUCAUGUCAGUUCAACAAUUUUUUAAUGUAUUUUCACUGAUACUUGUCAGGCCAAUUAAAUUUGAAAAAUAUAAUUAAUAAUCUAUGUUCUUAUUUGAGCUCUGACUGUUGUUGCUGUUAAUUCAGCUCAACACCAAUAGAUCUUGUUCAUAUAGACUAAUGCAAGAAGAGCGCUCUGGCUCUCUCUGCAUUUUCUCUGCAUUCUCUCUUAAGCAUUGGUUAAUGUAGUCUUGCUAGUUGUAGAACCUGAUUUAUUUGUUCACACCUUACUGCCUAGAUCCUUUGUGUUUAAUAGCUUGCAUAAUUCUUGUGGUUGCUCAAACUUGGAAUUAUAUGGAAAUUUCUGGAGGAGGAUGUGUUUCUGGAAGGUAGACUGUGGUAUCUUGGUUUGAAACAGCUGAAAUGAGGAGAGUGAAGAUUAGGAGACAGGCAGGUGAUAGGCACAGGGGUCAGAAGGAGGCUGGUGUAUUCAUACACCUAGGAAGGGCAAAGUGGUUGCUGGAUUAAAACAAGAUCGAAGAAGAAAAAUAUAAAUAUGUGGUAGGGAGAAAGGAACUUAAUUUUCAAAGCUUUUUUGUAUCUAUCUUAUUUGACCAGUCUGAGACUUUCCUCUUAUUAAAAAAAAAAAAAAAAGAAAUAUACUGUUCUACUUCAUGUUUAGAUAUUGAAAGUCCUUUGGUGUUUUGGAGCACUCACUUUAAGGGCAGGCUAUUGGCAGAUCGGCUUCACAAGUUUGCCUGACCUGAUCUCUGCUGAGCUGUGAUCAUAGGGUUCCUUUGUUUCUUAUUGUCAUGUCUUGACCUCUUUGCUUGUGCUCCAGCUGUUUGUGCCAUUCUUUUAUGCUCUUCUUUAGUGACCUAGUUGGUAAGCUCCUUUCCUGUGUUUGAGGUCAAUGAGGAAGUCAUGAUUUAGCAAGGCUAAUCCCUUACAACGCUUCUGUCCUUUUACAUGGAAAUGGGCAGAAUUUUUGUCCUCAGUUAUCAGUUCUCUCUAAUGCUGUCAACUCUAUUUUGCUUUUUUUUGUGCAUUGAGAAUGGCAUUAAUACCUGAUUUCAAGAAUGAAAGGUCAGAUUUGUCUAUAGGGUUCAGUCCCAACUUUCUGUAGGAUAGAGUACUUGAUCUUAAACUCAUGGCUUUGGGUUGUAACAUUGCCUGGCUUUCACAUAAUAGUAGCAACCAGCUUCUUCCUUUGAGUUGUUGGGUUAAUCUUUACAGCUGGGUGCUGUUCUGUAUAGCUGUUCAAGUGAUUUGUUGUAGUGACUUCUGUGCCCUUUGGCAUCCUCCUCAUCACAGAUACACCACUGAAUUAUUUUUCAGCUCUGCUUCUUGAUUUUACCAAGAGAUAUCAUCAAAACAAACAUCUCCUCCCCAGCCUUUACUGGAGCACAAAUAUAUAUGUCUCUUCUUUUAAGAGGAGUUGUUUCUUUACAGCUAGGAACUGUGGGCAAGAUAUUGAUAUUCCUACCUGAGUAUGGUUCACACAGAACAGAGGGCUAGAGUGGUCACUGCCUCUCUGUGUAUUUUAACAUUUAAUGACUUCUCCUUAGAUCCCCUUUAAGCAUUCUUCCAUUUUUUGCUCAACCACAUUACAGUAUGGAAGCUAUUAAUAAAUUAGUGUUAGUUGUAAAUUGAUGAAUUUCCCAUUUUCUUCUUCUCUAAACAUGUAGCAAAUUUUCAAGAAUUUGGAAAAGAAGGUCUGGCUAUCAAUGAAGAAAGACACAGAAGACUUUUCCUUAAAAUUAUGUCUAAUUAAACUAUUAUCUUCUAAAAUGUUCAUGUAUGAUCUUGGAGAAGGACUUUCAAACAUAAAAUAACAUAUUUAGACCUACAACUGGAUUAUGUGAUUAGGAACUUUACCUUAAUUACUGCAAGACACUCAAACAACAUUUAAAGGGCUUUUACUGUGCAAACUCUUCUUUUUGAUAAUAUUUGGGAUUCACUGUUGUGAUGAAUAUUAUUUGGUAAAUUACCAGGAAUUUAGAGAGUACUCAAGGUAAUCUGAAGCAAAUUUGGAAAAAGAAGAUAAAAUAUUCUACUGCUAUGAUUUAAUUUCUUGUAAUAUAUUUAUUUCAGUAAUAUAACUCAUUGCACGAGGAUAUUGAAACAGGGGUCAGAAGUGUAUUACUUGUUUGUAGCAGUACUGAGAACAUUUGCACUGGUUUAAUGCUUUUUCUUGUGCCCAGACACAAACAACUAAAAUAUAUAAAGUAUAGAUUUUAUCUGUUGUUCUCUGAAUGAAUGCUAGGUCACAUGCAGAACAAAAUAUUUAAUUAGAUGAACAUUAUUUGUUGUCUGGAAUGACAGUCUAUUUUGUUUGGUAUUUCCAUUAAUGUGUAGAGGAGUCAGAAAUUAUAAGUUUUCUCCCAGUGUAAAAUUUUACACAAAUUUGUUUUCCUGGCUGCUCUUUUCCCUUUUAUAAAAUAUAGCAGUUCAUAUGAAAUCCAAAGAAGGAAAUUAGCAGAGGUGAACAGAAGUCAAGAAAAGUUGAACAUUUCCUGGUAAAAUUUUAUGUGGCCAUUAAAAUGAUGGAUUUAAUGAUUUUUUUUUUUUUUUUCAGUGUAGUAACAGUACUAAUUUGUAGUUUGCCAUCAGUGUUAAGAUAAGAUUUUGAAUAUAGCCCAUGGCAGUAUAACAAGAACUUAUGCCAACUUGCAGAGCUGUGCAGCUGAUGAAAAUCUCCACUCUAAGAAGAGCCUUUAAAAUGUGUGAAUGCAGAACUCCAGCUCUGUUGAUCUUUGAAAAACAUUGGAGCAGUUUCUACACUGAUGUGUGCCAGUAAAAACCUCAAAUUAUUUUGGUGAUGGCUGUUGAAUAGUUUUCAUCAAUCCACUUGAAAUAGUGGGGGUGUUUUUCAUUUAAAUGGGCCUGGAUUUGUGGGCAGGGAGGGGCUAAGAAAGUUAAAAUGUCCUUUUAGCAUCAGGCAGCCUGGUAUACUGCUUUUACCUAGGGACUAAAUCUGUCCCUGUGUGGCAGUAACUCGUGUAGCAGGACUGUAGUAAAGCAGAUGAUACAACACCACCAAAAUAAGAGGGUCUUAAUUUAUGUUGGUAAAUGCAGAGAUUUGUCCAACACCUACACUGCCUUCGUUUGUUGUUUUUUUUUUUUUUAAAGCACAAAAGUAAAUUAAGAAACAAAACUAAUUUGUUUUUUCCUGAAGCUUCAACCUAUAAUUUGCUUAGGAACAUUUUCAAAGUCCAUUCUAAGCCACUAUAAUUCAGUUUUCUAUUAAAUUGUUGAGAUAAAACAGUUCAGUGGUAAUAUAAUUGAUAAACAUAAUGCACCUAGCAUAUCUCUGUAAUUCUUCUGAGGAAAACUAAAAUUAAGUAAAAACAAAAACUAGUAGUCUAAGGAGAUAUUAAAGGUGCACUUGGGGUUGCCCCUAUUAGUAUCUUUGGUUAAUUUGACCUGAAAAUUAUUUUCAGGGCAGAUGAGAAAGAUGUCCAUGUUGUAACUGAAUAGUUUGGCUUUGUAAUGUACUCACAGUUACAAGUUAAAUGUACUCACUUCACAAGUAAAACCCAUGGUAGCUUCCUCCUACCUCUAAAUAAUGUUUCUUCCUCCUACCUCUAAAUAAUGACUAGUUCUGGCUCUUGUGUGGGGCUUAUGUUUCUCUGCCACCUUCAGAGCUGUGUAAAGGAGAGAGAUGGAGACCCUCAUUCCAGUGAGUAGUUACUGGUUCCUCCCUGGCUGGCAACUUCUGGGAUUUCUGUCAUUGAGUUUGGUCUGUCUAGAAGCCAGACUUCUGGACUGAAGUAGUUUCCUCUUCCUUCUGUAGUCAUCAGAGAGGAAGGGCCAGCUGGACAGCAAUUCAUCCCACCUCUCAGGAUGUUGAUGAAUUGUCCUGUGAAACUACUUAUUCAUAGAGGAAAUUUAGGCAAUGAUCUCAGCCUAUUAAAAAGGGAUGAAAAUAUUCUUACUGUAAUGGGAAGCUGUUAGUAAUCAAGGAAUAGUCCCACCUGCCUAUAUGCAUUGCUCCCAGUAUUACAAUGCCUAUUUCUCAUAAAUUAUUUUAAAUGGCUCUUGACUCUAGAUCAAAGCAGCACUUUGAUACCACUUAAGUAUUGUAGCUAGAACUACUUUGCUGUUUGGAGGCCUCAAUCUUUGGUACCUGUUAUUAUAUGCUCCCCAGAAGGAAGUGCUAGAGAUCAUCUAGGUUAACCUUCCCAGAGCAGAUCCAACUGUAAAGGUAGAUGAGAUUGUUUAGGUCCAGUGGCAUGUAGAACAUCUCUAAAAUGACCCAGAAACCUUGUCAUGUGGGAUGUACAAGUCAGCAAUCCCAAUCUUCAUUAUUUUCUCAUCCUUUUUUCUUCCCAUCCACAGUAAAUCAGCUUCUUCAGAGUUCCCAUUUAGGAAUCACCAUCUGAGCUGAUUGCAAACUCCCAAGGGAUAUGAUUCCAGCAGCCUAAUCAGGUGGUAUACCCUUGGGGUGUCGUAUAGCAGUGUUUGAGGGAUGGCUUUCAAGGCUCUGCCAGCCAAGUAUGUUUUGCUUUCUUACGAAAGAAUGCUUUUCAUUGUUUUUAAUUUCAUUUUGGAUUGAAACAAUUAUAUAAAAUGUAUAAAGGUGCAAAAUGCAAGUUUUCUGUAUUUAGUUUCUGUUUCCAAAGAAGGUUGUUAUCUUGGAGAUCAGUGGCAGGCAUUUGGAUAAAGCCAAAAGCAAUACUUCCAUUGGAUAGGACAGAUGCCAAAUAACAGAGAACUUAUAUUUUGAAUGUAUUCCUUCAGUAAAAUGUUAUUUUAAAAGGCAAUGCUUUAAUUUCACAUACUCAGCUAAAUCUGGGGAUACAAAUAUGCUUUCUACACAGCUGAGAAAAUACGCAGAACUCUUCUUUUGUCAUCUCCAGGUGAAAGUCAAAGUCUGUUUCUUGCUGUGUGGUCUUAUGGUUUACAGGUAUUACUUGUGGGAAUGUCAGUGGCAUUCCAUGGCUUACCUUGCAAUUUUGGAAAAGUUGGUUCAAGGAGACUUUUUGUAUUAACUUCAAUCAAUUCCAAAUCCAGACAUUAGGAUUUUUUGAUAGUGGGAGAGUUUCUGCCUCUCAUUCUGUUUUUGAGAACUGUUGAUUCUCAAGCCAGACUUCUCAGACUCUUAUAAGAGUCCUGAGAACUUUAUGUUUGUCAAGAUUAAGUUUUGGGAAGUUGUCUACUGUGAUGAUUUUUUCCCUCUGGAUAUUAAGGUUACUGUAUUCUGCCUCUGCUUUGGAACAUUAGAAAUUGCUUUCAUAUGACUUGAACUAUGUUUCCCACUGAGUUGCAGAUACUUUGGAUUUAAGAACAGCCCUGUAGAGAUGAAGCUUUCCUAGGAAUUUUCAUUUCUAUUAAAGCUUACAAUGUUAAUCUUUUUAGCAAGGCUUUUCAACUUCUGGUACAGAAGGUAUAUUUUCCUAAGUAGAUGAGGCAUGUUACCUCUCUGUGGGAAUCUUUCUCAUGUCAUAGCCAAAACCUGGCAGUUUAAAAAUCUUCUAUUUGGAUGUUAUUACUUUCGGCAGAACCUUUCAGUGCAAAAACCCAGAUGUUUUAAUGCAUUAAAAAAAAGACACUCAGUUGCGUACACCUCGCCAAAUCAAUUAUUCAGUAAAAUGUUUGUGGUGAAGCAGCAGUUAAUGGAAGAGUGGCAGAUGUCAGACACAGAAGUGUCCAUUUCACUAUGGUGCUCCAUGGUCUGUUGUGACAGCUAAAUGAAGCAGCUCAACAGCUGUCAGCAUGUUAAUGUUUUGGAUCAAAUAAACACGCUUGGAAGAACUUUCCUCUGAUUUUUAAGACUUAAUGACUUUGAAGGCAGCCGUGCUUCUUUGCAGAUGAUGUUUGAAGUGUUUUGUAAGUGAGGCCAGAUGUAAUGAGGAAUAACAUUGGACUGCAGGCUAGACUAGUGUAUUUUGAUUUCAUUGGAGCUGUGUAACUGAACCACAGUGGGGCUUAGAAAUUCCUUCUCAGUCUAAACAUCAGAAUUAAAUCAAGGUUGCAGUGAGGUAGAUAGUUUUCUUCCUUUGCUUGGAGAAACCACAGAGAGAUAAGCAUGUGGCAAGCUUUUAGCUUUUGAAGAGUGUGGAGACAAAUCGGUCAAAAAAGCUGAACACAUGUAAACAUAAACCCGAUAUAACAUCUGUCCAUUUCAGUCAAAUACAAUGCAGAAGGCUCAAGGAUGAAUGUAUGAUCAUUUAAAUAUAUUUUUUUGGUGUUUUUGUAGUUGGUCAGUGAUUGCUUUAUAACAUAGCUGUUUCUCCAUGAAAGCUUCUGUUGUGCCUGAGGGUUUUCUUGAUUGCCUUUCUGACCUCAAUUGUUUUGGAGUUGCAGUGCCUGGUAGAGGUGUAAUAUAUGGACAGAUUCUGCGGCAUGUAGCUGGCCCAUUCUUUUUCAUUUCAAGAUUUGUUUUCAGGUAUCUUAUUCAUUUCAUAGGAUCUGAGAGGGCAUCUGUUAUUAUGAAAAAAAAUACAGCUGGUGGGAUUCUCUUUGCCAUGAUACUUUUCAUGGUUGACUGUCAGAUUAAGCAAGGACAUAUUGUUCAGCACCAAGACUGCUGAAGAACUAGGAUGAUAAUUUAUCUCAUUGAUUUAUUCUCUUUAUCUUAAGUUCUGCUGCUUUUUUUCUCCAAGUGUCUGCUUCUGACUGUGGUUGACUGGUUUGUGUAACAAAACAAGAAACACACAGAUAACCAAAGUUCUAGAUUAUUCCUCCAGGCUUGAAGGAAUGAGUGAAGAUUUAGCAUCAUCAGAGUGUCUUAAAAAUUACAAUCAUUUGUGAUGGCAUCUGAGAUAACUACAAGGGUGCUAUAUCUUUACCUGUCACUAUGGAUGGAGCAAUAAUCACUUAUUUCCUGUCACUCCCUGCCAUUCCCAGUAUCUAACUUUUAAAGAGUGCAAGCACGAGGAGUUAUUGAAUAUCUUAUCUUUCUGCUCUGUCAUUUGUCCAGCUAAUGAGAGUGGAAGUUUAGUCAGCUCACUUGAGGAAUGCACCAGGGCUACAGAAGAUGAGAGAAGGAGUUUGCCUGGGAGCUCUACCAAAAAAAAGAACUUUUUCUCCAUUAACCCUGGGAGCUUUAUUACAUAGCUUUCAUGAAGAAAAGUGAAACUAGCAACAGUAGAUAGUAACUCACUCUUCUAAUAUUUCUUUUUUUUUUUUUUAAUGCCAAUGUGUGUACAUCAAGCAAUUAUUAAUUGCUUAAUAUUUAUCAUUGUAAUGAUAAAUAUGUAAAACAUUUCUGUAAAGUAAGUGAAAAUAAAGUGUAAUGCUGUUGAAAAAUGAGGGUUGCUGCAACUUAAGCAUAGAAAUUUGAAGACUUUUGCCGCUUCGGUUUUUAAUUUGGUCACUGUUUUAGGAAUCUUGGAGUUUAAAUUCAUGUAGCAGUCACCCUACAUGAGGGAUCAGAAGGGGAGGUCUUAAUAGCCAUUGCUUCAGACCCCUAUGGCAACAGUUCUGGCAGACUUUUUUUAUGAAGUCUUCUGCAUGGUCUUUUGCAUUUUCUUUCUGGAAUUAUUGCAGUACUCUCAUCAGUUGGCAGACAGGCCACCAUGCCUUGCUCAGUGAGCUUCCAGUAUACCUUUCUCUUCUCUCAGGCCAGAGGUGCCCCUUCCCAUUCUCACAAAUCUCUCCUUUCUUCUUUGGUCUGACCAGGUGUGGCUGUGGUGUUUUGGUGUGGAUUUUAUGACAUUUUUACAUUAUUUUGGUAUGGAGUUUGGUUUGUGGACUUUAUUACAUUUUCUAAGCAAGUUUGGACAAUCGUAGCCAUAAGUGUAAUUGUAAAAUAUGUAGAGAACUAGAACAUCUGAAAAUCAGAUCCUUAGUUCAUGGUUAUGACUGUCAAAUCCUGAACUGGUUUUAGUUGGUUUUGGUCUCGGAAGCAGCUCUAAUCACAGUAAUAUUUUACUAACUCUUCUUUCAUGCUUACCCUCAAAUUCUUAUAUAAGAGCCUUACCACAUAGAAAUUAUAAUUUCUAUUUUUGAAACCUCUAAAAAUUUACAGCUGCUUUUUUCAACUCAAGUAGGAUAUUUUCCCCUAGAAAAUAUUUUGUUACCUUUACUUCUCACCCAUAUGACAAAUGAAUGAGUUUUAAUCACUGUUUUUGUAGGGAUUGAGUCUCUUUCAGGUUUUGAUUUCAAAGUUGAAAUUGGGUAAAUAAAAUAAGUGCAAUCUCCAUGUCAAUAGAAAGCAAGGAGAGUUAUAAAGUAAGAUUCUACAUGUGUAGCUUUGCAACAAUAGAAUAAAAAGUGGAAUAAUGAACUGUAUUUGUAUCUAAUUACAUACAUAAUGCAUUUCUGUAAUUGUCUAGUAGGGGUGUGCUAAUGAAUAAAUUACUUUUAAUUGUAGGUUGCUUGAUUGUUUCAGAAAUAUAAUUGAUUGUAAUCAAGAAUCAAUUAAAUGCUGGUAGUAAUUGUAUUUAUCAAAUUUAAUAUAUUAUUAUAGUUUAGAAACAUUUUCAAAAAAGGGAGUAUUAAAGGACUAUAUUGGUCUUACGUGUUCAUACCAUUGGGUUGGUGGGGUGGCGCUUAUUAUAACAGUGCACAAUAAAAAAGAAACGUGUAUUCUCAUCUUUGUUUCUGCUCCCAUCUGAUCUGUGAGGAUAAACAAGGAUUUAGACUUGCUCAGUAUUCAUGACUCUUAGCUUGCUGUGUGAAGUGGGCUUUAAUAGAAACCAAGUGCCCCCAGGUGAGACUCCUUCCGUGGUGUGAAGCUUUGCAGUCCUGACCAGAUGAGAGUAGUGCUCUGCACAGCAGGGUAGUGAUGCACAGGGAUUCCAGACCUGCCUGCCUUCUCCAGGUGCCCUCAGCCCUAGAUACCCUUUCUCUUCUGAGCUAUUUUUGGAUUGUAGUGUCUUGUGGAACUGCUAGCUUUUCCAACUAGUUUAUUAUUCUUUUUGUAAAUAAAACUUAUCUAGUGGUUUUAGUUUGAAGGAUCUUUAUGUACCUUCUGUGCUCAGGAAAGGCAUUAUGCCUGCCUUCCCAUGGCCCUGCUGUCUUUACAAAUAUGAAAUACAAUUAAAUGAAGUCAAUAUGACUCUAAAUGGAUAGUGACCCAACCAGAUAAACCAAGAGGGCUCUGUUUUUAACAUGGACCUCAUUUUGCUGUCAUAUGCAGAUGCUUUGUUAAUGCUGAACCAUUUUUGGCCUUUGUAGAAAGGUCCAAUUUUGAGGCCCAUUACACUGUAGAUGAGAGAGUAUAUUGUCCAUUAACUGCAUAAAGUACAGACCAUAUGUGCAAUUCAUGUUUCCAUGGGUUUACAGGUCCUAAUCAACAAACUUGACCAGAUUGUGUGCCAUGGGAAAACUGAAAUCUGCACUAAGUAGAUAAAGCACAGAGCUCCCUUCUAAGGGAAGCUGUCUAAGGACUUGUGAUCUAUGACUGCAGUUCCAGGAGAAGCAGCAUUUCUUUGACAAGUGUGCAAAACAUGAAUAUAGUAAAUAUAGAGAGUGCCAUCUACUGACCUGUGAGAAUAUAUAUAUAUAUAUAUUAUAUAUUAUAUAUGCAGCUUUGUCCAGAAUGAGUCAAUAUGUUGUUGAUGUUGUGCUCCAAAUGGCUUCUUGACUGUAGAUGCCCGACUCUAGUUUGGGCUCCACUUUCCCCGUUAGCAUCAUAAAGGGAUCAGUCAAGCUGUCUGAUGUAAUCUUGGUGUUUCUAAAAACUUGUCCUUGUAACCAAAGCCCCAAGACUGAGGUGCAAAAUUUCAGUGGGGAGGAGGGUUUUUUUUAACUACUGUUUUUAAAUCAGUUUGGGAAAUAUCUAAACUGAGUAUUUUCUUAAGUUUUUAGAUCUGGUGUCAAUGGAAAUGUGUUGGAAUCUGUAUCUUGUCCUUGGAUCUUUUGUUGAAUGAGCUAUGGAGUAGCUGCAGAUGUAGAAGCUGGAUCACCUCCCCCUGUCUUUUUUUUUUCCUCAGAAAAUUGAACGUUGAGUUUUCAUUUUACUACAGAAAAGUGCUCUAUCAGGUAAUAUCUGACUAUCACCAUAAUUAGCUCCUUAGUUCAACAAAGAGAAAUUAUCAGAAUUACUUGCUUUCCUGCCUGUGGGGGCUUUUAUUUCAGUACUGAGUUUUUGAAUUUGAGGAUGAAGAGACUAUUAGAACUUUUUGGGUUUUUUUGUUUUUUCUUUUUGUUCUAGCACUAUUUUCUGAACAUAAAGAGGGGGUGGAGGUGUGGAAAAGAGUACAGAAAAGGGAAUUUUGGUCUUCCCCUUCACCCCAAGAACUGAGCUUACUGCUCAGAAAAGGUUAAAAAGACAGAUGUUAGGAAAUAUUAAUCUCUGAAUGAAGAGUAAAACAAAAACCCUUAUUACUUCACAAUAUAAAUUUGCACUGUAUCAUAUCUGGAAUUCCAGACUCAGCUUUGGUCUCUGUGCUUCAAAAGAGAUGUUAGGUGAACUAGAGAAGGGUAAUAGAGAUCAUCAAGAGUUAAGGAGCUGCUACUGUGCUCAACAGGGUCCAAUAAAAACAUGGAAGGGAGGAAACAGUUACUACUCACACCUGAAGAAUUGAGAGGCAAGCAAAUUUAGAAAAAUGUUACUCUUCACAUAUGAAAUUGUGAAACUUGGUUAUAUAUUAUGGUCUGAGAGACAAAAUAAUGGAAUUAAUGAAGAAUUCAUGAAGAGUACUUCAGUUGUUAAAAGUUGCCACUGUUGCAACCUUUGGCUUAGAAUGCCCUUGCCCUUCUAACCUGGGGCAAUCAACACUAUAUGGCUGGGAAGGAUCACUUUAUUCUCACCCAUUUCUUAUAUUCUCCUUUAAUUAUGGCCUACUGAACAUAGCAGGAAAUAGAUUAUUAAACCAGGUAGAUUUUUAUUCUAACCCAAAGCAGCAGGAGCCAGAAGACAAAACCUUGCCUCCUACUUUGUGCCUGCAGUCAUGCCCUGUUUUCUGACUGCUCUGUUUGUGGCCCAAAGAGAUCAAUAAUUUUUGCACAAGUACCACUGGGUGUCAUUUAGGAUUCCAGGUAGGCUCUGCUCAGGGUAUCCUUCAAGGAGGGAGGGAGGUGUGCCCAGAACAAGGUUCCCAAAUCUACUUUGUAACACAGGAACCUAAAAUAACUUGGGACUUUUGUGCCAAUCUUUCAAACUCUAAAAGUGCUUACUGGCUCUAUCCUUUAAUUAAAAACCAAAGGCAAAAUUCUUCAGUUCAUCUGUAGGUGUAUCUUGAGGUUGCUUGUCAAGAGGAUUUCUUCUGACUUUUCAAACUCAAGUGAACUAUUUUGAUUAUAAGAUAAUGUAACAUAAACAUGUCACUAAUUAAAUUAAUAUGUUUGUAUGUGAAUAUACCACAUUAUUCCUAUUAACUGUUUUAAGAGGAAAAUAAUGUAUAAAACCAUCAAAUUUCUACAAUUGAAACACCUCUAGGUGUCCCUGGUUUCUUCCCAGGUACAGGCCUGCCUUUCAGAUAUGGUAUGCCAGUUCCCACAUUUCCAUAAAAACUUUGGUUGUCAAAGCAAUUUUCCUUAUUUAUAAUUUUAACCAUGUUAUUUGCCUCAUGUUGAAUAUCACUCUUGGUCCAUAUAAACAAAAAACUUUUGAAGGAUUAAUUAACUCUUUCUUUCUGUCUUCUUUCUCUCUUGACUUUCUUAAGUAAUUCUUUACCAUUGAGGUGGUGACACAGCACCCUGGCUAAGGUGUGUGUAAGGUGUAUGUGUAAUCUCCAAGUACACAAAAAAAGCCCCAACAAAAUGACAAAACCAGAGGAAGAUGUUCAUAUAUGGUUGGUUAGCAAACCUAGCAAUCAUGCCAGCUUCUCAAAUCAGUUGCCCGUUCUGUAAUCUCUUUGCUUCCUGUAAUAUAAAAAUUCUUGUCACUCACUUUGUUAAUAGGGUUUCUUCUCUGGUCUUAACACUCACAUUUAAUUUCUGUGUUUGUUCUUUCAAAUUUUCAUCCUUCUGGCAUGCAAGCUAAUGUGCGAGCUACAGCUACCAUCCUGUAGAGGAUGGUUUCACUGAAGGAGACUGGCUGGAAGGGCAUUAAUGUUCUGAUGCAGUGCAGAGACACCCCGGGUAACAUCUGAGACAGUACCAGGGACGGAAGUGAAAUAGGCAUGGAAGUGGGCUCUGCACCUGAGUACCAAGCUCUGCCUGAGGAGGUUUAUUUGCUGAAGAGAAGUGCUGCACUAACACUUUUGGACCAAGAUACUCCCUUGCAAAUCUCCAUGUUUUCUUCUAUGCUCCAAUUGCUGCAAUGUGAGGAAUGUCUCAGACUUUCUAUUUGCAGACAGUUUUCAUGGUGACAGCUUCUGCUCAGACCUUUCUGCCAUGGCUGUAUGUUCCUGAAGCCAUCAGUUCAGCGGGUUCUUUUCCUUCACACUUGCUCUAACUGGUAGUAAACCCUUAAUGCCACAGUGACCAAUGGUAAAUCACCGUGUCUGACACUGGGAGACAAAAGAAGCAGGAGGGAUCUGUGAAAAAUGCCUGCAAGAAGCAAAGCACAGCGUGGAUGGAGAUGAUUCACGUCUCUGCAGUGAAUCUUCAGUAAAAGGUAGCAGAGCAGAACCAAAGACCAUUUUCACUCAUCUUGAAUUCAUUUCACCUGAUCUCUAAAGUAUUUCCCUGCUACCCACCAGAGCUUUGAACCAGGCUGCAUGUCUGAGUACUGCUUUUUCCCUUUUUUUUCUUUUUUUCUUCUUUUUUUUUUUUUUUUUUUUUUUUUUUUUUUUUCCCCAAAAGAAAUGAGUGCAAAAAAGGCAGCUAACAGAGGGAGAAGCUACAAGCAAUGAAUACAGAAAAGAAACUGAUUUGGACAUCUGUCUGUCCAUCCCUUGAAACUUUCACAGAUUUUUAUGCAAUCUGACUUAGAAUAAGAAGUUUUCCAAAAACAUGUAAUGGUCUAAAGUUCCCAAGUUACUUAAAUGCUUUUGGAAAAGUUGCUGGAAAUUGAUGCAUCCAUAUUUAAACAAGGAAAUGUUUCUAUUUAACAAAGCCUGCUGGUAAAUUUUUGUCUGUUUUUAUUGUUAUUUUAACUGUUUCCUUGAAAAAUUAGUUUUUGUUUUCUCUUUUGCAAGUAUCGUAAUGUUUGAUUUAGCAACCUGGGGCUAUCUUAUUCCUUUACAAAUCUAUGUAAGUCUUCUGGUUACUUUUUAAUUAAGCAGAAUCAAACCUGUUGCCCUUCAUCCUGAAAAGCUAUAGCAACAUGCUUAUGUGAGUCACAGACUCAAAGUAAGUAAAUUUAAGCUUGCAUAGAUAAAAUGAUACUGAGUUGAGGGUGACCUCAUAGAUUGUUGUGUUCCUUUCUAGCACAGACAACUGCAACCAUCAUAAAAGCUGAUUUUCUUUGGAUUUAAACCAGUGAUAGGGCUAGCCCUGUUAGUAUGACUGAAAAGACACUGUAAUUUCCUGCCUUCCUGGCUUUUCUGGUAUUCCAGCUCACUCCUGCAGGACAAGAGACUUGGGAUGCAAGUCUGAGUGCUUUCUGAUUAACUUCAGCUGAAUUGGAAAAAAUCAACACAAGAUUUUGCCACUGUUGAGGUACUGAGCCUGGAUUCCUCAUAUGUAAAAAUUUCAAUUUAAUUUCACUGGGAGUUUACCAAGAUUACCUUAUUAAAUUCUUUGGGGAGGUGCCUGCAUUUUUCCUAGCUGCUGAAGCUCUGUACUUGUUUCCUAUUCUUUCCACAGCUGAGACUUUCAGUAGUCAUCCCCCAGGUUCCCUUUUCUUUUAAGAAUUGUUGGCUGGUUCUCAUUUUUGUGACUGAAUUUUGGAGCCUUCUGAAACAAAAAAAAUCUUUUAAAAAAAGUUUGGGCCAUGUAGACAUAAUGCCAUUGUUACUUCUGUAGUACUACACUGUGUAGCUUUUGUUAUAAGAUUCAUUCCAAAUACACUGUUAAAAGGGAACUGCUAAGGCCUGUGGAUCUGAAUCUUUGCUAAAGAAGCAGUAAUUUACUACCCAGAAAGUGAUAGACAAUGAGGGGAAAUCAUAAUGCCAUAGGAAAGUGAAGAAUGGCCCAUUUCUUCUUGCACAAUUAGAACAGAAUAUUUUUAUGCUAAGUGGUCUGCUUUGCAAACAUACACAAGAGCCCCUGUGCUUGCAUCUUAAAAGAAUAAGCCUACCAAUAUAUCUUCUCCUCAUUGAUGCUAUAUGUUGUAAGGGGUUUUUUACUGUAGAGGUGCUUUUGAUUUGCCUGGGUUAUAAAAAUAUGGCAUCAAUCUUCUUAUUUUGCUACCAUCAGUGAUGUUCCAGUGAUGAUACCUAGAGGUGGGUGUCACUGCAUGUCAGAGUAAUGGCAGAGAAUACAGAGUGCUCACCCUGCCCUGUCUCAGAACUGCAGCUAUAGCUCAAGGUGGCAGACAAAGGGAAGAGAGAGAGAAAACAUGUGCAUGUGUUUGUGCACGCGUAGGCAGUGCUAACAGAAGGGAAUUAGCUGGCUCAGAGCUUUGAUUAUUGACUACAGAGAGUUUCAGCUCUGGUCUCUUGUGUGAAUCAGUCAGAUCCACAGUAUCCAAAAGUGGUUAUCAGCUGAUGAUUGUUUGAUUGUCUGUGAAGUAAUUAGUUUGAACUGGGCUCCCCCAGUGAGACUCACCUGGUGUCUGUGCACCCCUUCCAGGUGCGCUGGGGCAAGGUGAGGAGGUGAUGCCUCCAGGCAGCCCCAGCUCCCUGUAACCCUCUCUUUGCUGAUUUAAGGGCUGUCUCUGCCACAGCUCUGCUGAUAGCUUGCUGUUGUAAUUGCACCCAUCUCAGUGAAAAUGAGCCUAAUAACCCUGAGAGCUGAAAUAAUCAGUAUUGGUUAACCUGGCUGGUUCUGCCAGGGGUGUUGGGGAGAUGACCACACAAACCCUUCUGCCAGUGGGCUGGAGGAGCUGUUAGCAGUGGGACUGGCAGAUGGGGCUGGGGCCAGCAAACUGUGCAGCUGACACAGCUUCAUCUGCAAUGGGAUUGAAGGGGAUCUACAAACACUAGUCUGUUUUCUUUACUCUUGUGAAGAACCCCAUUUUCAGGGACUAAAUUAAAGUAGGAAAUCACCUGUUUGGCCUUACUUGCCAUCCUUUGGUUUUCCUGUUAUAGACACCAGUCAGUUAAGUCUAAACCUUGGUCCCAUUAUAAGAAUGGCUGUAUAACCAUUGCUUGCUUUUAAAUAAGAAGUUAGUUUUUAAAUGAUGAGAAAGUUUGAAAUUCUGUGAUCUAAAACAAUGUAAAGAUGCUCAGUGAAGCAAAUAAAAGCACUUGUCCUAACUAGCCUGAUAAACAACCACUCCUGUGGCUAUUCUUUACACCUGGUCAAAGUGAGAGUGGAAACUCCUGGAUUAUUCCAGUCCUGCAGCCAGGCUGUGGGACCUGUAUGUAGUAGGACUUCCAGCAAUUUUGACAAGCACUGAAUUCACUGUUCAACAUUUUAAAAGAGUGAGAAGUAGAGAUUUUUGGUUCUAACAUUUCUUGGGUUGUAAUUUUGCAUUAGUGAUGUAGCAUAAAUCAUUUACUGUACUAAUGGGCUGGGAAAUUUCUGUGGGAUUGAGCAGCAGCAACUGUGCUAGACACAGGUGUGAGGUGUGGCCUUGAAGUUUGCAUUUCUGGAGCCACUUCUCUGCAUGAGCUGCAAGCAGCCCUGUAAUGGAAGUUGUCACCUUUUGGCCUCAACACCUCUAACCUCAAAUAAUGAUCAAAAAUGUGAAGUCUUUCAAGUUAAAAGUUUUGCAUCCAUCAGGUUAUUAAUACAUAGAAGAGAAGGUCUUUUACUCAGUCAUGUUAAAAAGCUGUUGAAAGCUUCUAAACUGGAGCAUGAUUGCCAUUAUGUAAGAAUACAUUUUUACUGUUAUUUUAAUUAA
Long non-coding RNA from Parus major (Great Tit), 20614 nucleotides. RefSeq lists it as uncharacterized. The record is from RefSeq and is a predicted model, not a curated record. The transcript has 4 exons. NCBI's taxonomy places the organism in Eukaryota, Metazoa, Chordata, Aves, Passeriformes, Paridae.